CUUGACCCUAUUCCAAGGGAUAUUGGUAAUAGUUUUGCAUGACAAUGUGGGAUUUUUCCUUUUAAACAACAAUGAUUACUCUCCUUUCUUUUAUAUUUUAAUUCAUUUAAUAAUUACUCCAACACAUUUCUCUUCCUUCAGGGUCUUACACAUACACUUUUCCGUCAAUCAAAUAAACGUGACUGACAAUAUAUUUCCGGCGUCAGUGGCUGUUUUCUAAGAUAACCCUACAUCAUUUCUGAGAGCCUAGUGCAAGAAUUACAAAAUCCUCAUGUCCCGACGUAUCACGUUACAACCCUGAAACCAUAGUGAGGUUUUCAGGUGGCAUUCAUUAACUUGAGCAAUUGCAUUUCUUUGGAAAUGGACGUUACUUAGGUAGCUUUUAGACACAAAUACUGGCAAACUAAGAUAUUACCUGCAUUUCCCUUAUGAUGCUAAGAAAUCUUGUUUAGAAAUACAUGCAUGAUUGUGUGUUUUCUCUCAGCUAGGAUGAUGGCUCAGUUCAAGGAUGAUUGGAGGAGAGAACAGUUCCAGAAUGAAGGACUUCAGGAAAAAUAUGAUGAUCUUCAAAAGAAAGUCGGUAAGUAUCUCUGAUGACCUCUUUGUUUCCACAGCCUGUACUAAACAAUCAGGUUUUUGGUUCUUUCGGCACCCCCUCUCUUCUUCCCUAUAUGCCAUCUUUUGGCUCACAUGUCAUCUCCAUGUCUUCCCUCUCCUCCCUCAAGGUUUCUGUUUAUGGACGUCUCCCACCUUAAGUUCUCUCCGUUUCUUUUACCCGAGACCUGAUUCCUUCUCAGUGCUUCCCACUUCAUUUCACAGGGCCCUUCCUGUAAACAUGGUCUUAACUCUGGCAUCCAGAGCCUUGGCAGGUUCGUUUUGAUUUUGUGAGAAGAAGGGGAGAGACUGAUGGACAUGUGGCUUCUGUUCCACGUUUAGCUUCUGGAACACUUCCAAUAACGUAGACUCUCUGUCAUACAGCAAAGUUCAAGGGGCCAUUCUCAUGCCAUUGAUGCCUCCCCAAAGCUUAUGAAAUAAAACAAGGCUGCAAAUUUGCUGAGUGAUGUUU
This 1066-nucleotide long non-coding RNA is filed under the name Sus scrofa (pig). RNAcentral's name for it is "lncRNA (ENSSSCG00070003406.1)". The record is from RNAcentral. Lineage: Eukaryota; Metazoa; Chordata; Mammalia; Artiodactyla; Suidae.